UAAGGCGAGGCUGAAAAGCGUAGUCGAUGGGAAACGGGUUAAUAUUCCGUACUGGUGGUAACUGCGAUGGGGGAACGGAGAAGGCUAGGUUGUCCGGGCGACGGUCGUCCCGGUUCAAGCAGGUAGGCAGAGUGAUUAGGCAAAUCCGGUCACUUAAUGCUGAGAUGUGAUGACGAACCACCAAGGUGGUGAAGCAAUUGAUGCCCCGCUUCCAGGAAAAGCCUCUAAGCUUCAGGUUACCAACAAUCGUACCCCAAACCGACACAGGUGGUCAGGUAGAGAAUACUCAGGCGCUUGAGAGAACUCGGGUGAAGGAACUAGGCAAAAUGGUGCCGUAACUUCGGGAGAAGGCACGCUGGCGGUAGGUAAAGUCCCUCGCGGACAGAGCUGAAGCCAGUCGAAGAUACCAGCUGGCUGCAACUGUUUAUUAAAAACACAGCACUGUGCAAACACGAAAGUGGACGUAUACGGUGUGACGCCUGCCCGGUGCUGGAAGGUUAAUUGAUGGGGUUAGCGUAAGCGAAGCUCCUGAUCGAAGCCCCAGUAAACGGCGGCCGUAACUAUAACGGUCCUAAGGUAGCGAAAUUCCUUGUCGGGUAAGUUCCGACCUGCACGAAUGGCGUAAUGAUGGCCAGGCUGUCUCCACCCGAGACUCAGUGAAAUUGAACUCGCUGUGAAGAUGCAGUGUACCCGCGGCAAGACGGAAAGACCCCGUGAACCUUUACUAUAGCUUGACACUGAACAUUGAGCCUUGAUGUGUAGGAUAGGUGGGAGGCUUUGAAGUGUGGACGCCAGUCUGCAUGGAGCCAACCUUGAAAUACCACCCUUUAACGUUUGAUGUUCUAACCUAGGCCCAUAAACUGGGUCGGGGACCGUGUCUGGUGGGUAGUUUGACUGGGGCGGUCUCCUCCUAAAGAGUAACGGAGGAGCACGAAGGUUGGCUAAGCAUGGUCGGACAUCAUGCGGUUAGUGCAAAGGCAUAAGCCAGCUUGACUGCGAGAGUGACGGCUCGAGCAGGUACGAAAGUAGGUCUUAGUGAUCCGGUGGUUCUGAAUGGAAGGGCCAUCGCUCAACGGAUAAAAGGUACUCCGGGGAUAACAGGCUGAUACCGCCCAAGAGUUCAUAUCGACGGCGGUGUUUGGCACCUCGAUGUCGGCUCAUCACAUCCUGGGGCUGAAGUAGGUCCCAAGGGUAUGGCUGUUCGCCAUUUAAAGUGGUACGCGAGCUGGGUUUAGAACGUCGUGAGACAGUUCGGUCCCUAUCUGCCGUGGGCGUUGGAAGAUUGAGAGGGGUUGCUCCUAGUACGAGAGGACCGGAGUGAACGCACCACUGGUGUUCGGGUUGUCAUGCCAAUGGCAUUGCCCGGUAGCUAAGUGCGGAAGAGAUAACCGCUGAAAGCAUCUAAGCGGGAAACUUGCCUCGAGAUGAGUCUUCCCUGUCGCUUUAAGCGACCUAAAGGAACGUUUAAGACUAAGACGUUGAUAGGCUGGGUGUGUAAGCGUAGCGAUACGUUGAGCUAACCAGUACUAAUGAACCGUGAGGCUUAACCUG
This 1551-nucleotide ribosomal RNA is filed under the name Proteus mirabilis. RNAcentral's name for it is "bacterial LSU rRNA". It matches the Rfam family "Bacterial large subunit ribosomal RNA", at positions 1392 to 2925 of the family's 2925-position model. The record is from RNAcentral. Lineage: Bacteria; Pseudomonadati; Pseudomonadota; Gammaproteobacteria; Enterobacterales; Morganellaceae.